RNAcentral lists this transfer RNA (68 nucleotides) under Chlamydosaurus kingii (frilled dragon). RNAcentral describes it as "tRNA-Gly". The record is from RNAcentral. Lineage: Eukaryota; Metazoa; Chordata; Lepidosauria; Squamata; Agamidae.
AACUACCCUAGUAUAAUACAAUACAUGCGGCUUCCAACCGCCCAAUCUUACACAGCUAAGGAGUAGUA